GACGAACGCUGGCGGCGUGCUUAACACAUGCAAGUCGAACGGAAAGGCCCUGCUUUUGUGGGGUGCUCGAGUGGCGAACGGGUGAGUAACACGUGAGUAACCUGCCCUUGACUUUGGGAUAACUUCAGGAAACUGGGGCUAAUACCGGAUAGGAGCUCCUGCUGCAUGGUGGGGGUUGGAAAGUUUCGGCGGUUGGGGAUGGACUCGCGGCUUAUCAGCUUGUUGGUGGGGUAGUGGCUUACCAAGGCUUUGACGGGUCGCCGGCCUGAGAGGGUGACCGGCCACAUUGGUACUGAGAUACGGCCCAGACUCCUACGGGAGGCAGCAGUGGGGAAUAUUGCACAAUGGGCGGAAGCCUGAUGCAGCAACGCCGCGUGCGGGAUGACGGCCUUCGGGUUGUAAACCGCUUUCGCCUGUGACGAAGCGUGAGUGACGGUAAUGGGUAAAGAAGCACCGGCUAACUACGUG
This 468-nucleotide ribosomal RNA is filed under the name uncultured bacterium. RNAcentral's name for it is "partial 16S ribosomal RNA". It matches the Rfam family "Bacterial small subunit ribosomal RNA", at positions 28 to 507 of the family's 1533-position model. The record is from RNAcentral.